GACGAACGCUGGCGGCGUGCUUAACACAUGCAAGUCGUGCGGAAAGGCCCUUCGGGGUACUCAAGCGGGGCACAGGGGAGUGUAACACGAGUAACAUCCCCCCACCUUUGGGAUAACACUCGGAAAAGGGGGCUAAUACCGUGUACAACACAUCUUCGCGUGGGGUGGGGGUGGAAAAGCUUGCGGUUUGGGAUGGGCUCGCGGCCUAUCAGCUUGUUGGUGGGGGGUUGGCCUACCAAGGCGCCGACGGGUAGCCGGCCUGAGAGGGUGACCGGCCACACUGGGACUGAGACACGGCCCAGACUCCUACGGGAGGCAGCAGUGGGGAAUAUUGCACAAUGGGCGGAAGCCUGAUGCAGCGACGCCGCGUGCGGGAUGACGGCCUUCGGGUUGUAAACCUCUUUCAGCAGGGACGAAGCGUAAGUGACGGUAACUGCAGAAGAAGCGCCGGCCAACUACGUG
RNAcentral lists this ribosomal RNA (462 nucleotides) under uncultured bacterium. RNAcentral's name for it is "partial 16S ribosomal RNA". It matches the Rfam family "Bacterial small subunit ribosomal RNA", at positions 28 to 507 of the family's 1533-position model. The record is from RNAcentral.